This 508-nucleotide ribosomal RNA is filed under the name uncultured bacterium. RNAcentral's name for it is "partial 16S ribosomal RNA". It matches the Rfam family "Bacterial small subunit ribosomal RNA", at positions 30 to 523 of the family's 1533-position model. The record is from RNAcentral.
AUUGAACGCUGGCGGCAUGCCUUACACAUGCAAGUCGAACGGCAGCGGGGGAGAAGCUUGCUUUUCCUGCCGGCGAGUGGCGAACGGGUGAGUAAUACAUCGGAACGUGCCCUGUAGGGGGGGAUAACUAGUCGAAAGAUUAGCUAAUACCGCAUACGACCUGAGGGUGAAAGCGGGGGACCGCAAGGCCUCAUGCUAUAGGAGCGGCCGAUGUCCGAUUAGCUAGUUGGUGGGGUAAAGGCCUACCAAGGCGACGAUCAGUAGCUGGUCUGAGAGGACGAUCAGCCACACUGGGACUGAGACACGGCCCAGACUCCUACGGGAGGCAGCAGUGGGGAAUUUUGGACAAUGGGCGAAAGCCUGAUCCAGCAAUGCCGCGUGUGUGAAGAAGGCCUUCGGGUUGUAAAGCACUUUUGUCCGGAAAGAAAUGGCUCUGGUUAAUACCUGGGGUCGAUGACGGUACCGGAAGAAUAAGGACCGGCUAACUACGUGCCAGCCGCCGCCGUAA